RNAcentral lists this ribosomal RNA (450 nucleotides) under uncultured bacterium. Its description in RNAcentral is "partial 16S ribosomal RNA". It matches the Rfam family "Bacterial small subunit ribosomal RNA", at positions 338 to 795 of the family's 1533-position model. The record is from RNAcentral.
CCUACGGGGGGCUGCAGUGAGGAAUAUUGGUCAAUGGACGCAAGUCUGAACCAGCCAUGCCGCGUGAAGGAUGAAGGCCUUCUGGGUUGUAAACUUCUUUUACCUGGGAAGAAAACUACGAUUUCUAUCGUAGCCGACGGUACCAGAGGAAUAAGCACCGGCUAACUCCGUGCCAGCAGCCGCGGUAAUACGGAGGGUGCAAGCGUUAUCCGGAUUUACUGGGUUGAAAGGGGGCUUUGACGGGCGUUUAGAAAUCUCCGGGCUCAACCUGGAAACUGCCAUUGAUACUAUUAGUCUUGAAUUUUGUUGAGGUAGGCGGAAUAAGUCAUGUAGCGGUGAAAUGCUUAGAUAUGACUUAGAACACCAAUUGCGAAGGCAGCUUGCUAAACAAAUAUUGACGCUGAGGCACGAAAGCGUGGGGAUCAAACAGGAUUAGAUACCCUGGUAGUC